UACUUUUACUUAUGUAAAGGAAUUCUCUGAAGGUUCAUGACUACGAAUGACUUUCACAUUAUACACUGUUUUCAUAUCAUCAUUUUCAGUUUUAUAUUGCCCCACAACUCAGUGAGUCACUGAGUUGGAUUGUGCUGGAGAUAAGGAGUCUGGCUCUAGUUGGCACUGAGAGACCAGGGAAUGACAAAGACCCUGACCGGCCCUGCUCACCAGUCCGGCCACGCAGGACCAGAAACAUUCAGUGAGGCCAGACCGGCCCAGACAUCAACACUUCACUGGGGCUGCAGCACAAAACAACAAGAGGGAAAAUCUAAACUCAGGAGGUGAAUACAAACAAGCUGCAGAACAGGAAGAAUUCAGACAUCGGGACCAUGUUUUAUCAUGUCCUGUAAUUCAUUUACUCCAUAUUUUUUAAAGUGUGUUUUACCACCUCUCAGGAAGCUGCUGGUUUCCAUUUCAUUUCACCAACAUGAAAAUGGCUCAGCUUGCAUAUUUAAGUACUUCAUCAAAGAGAAGAAGAAAUUGUGUCAUUGCAGCAUGAAAUUGUAAUUAAUACCAGAGAAAACAGCAUGAGUAGGAAACUAGCAAAAUGAGUUAUGUAAAAAUAUGCAAAUAACAACUUCAGCGUAUGUAAAAUCUAAAUAUAUUCUUGAGAGUUAUGUAAAAAAUAAAAAGUAGACUAAUGGAUCACAGCUCUUUUUCUACAAAGAAGAAACAUUUUCAUGAUUUUAUGCUUUGCAAUUAUACCAGAAUAUUAAAAAACACUGUAACAUGACCUAAAACUAAAAUAAUUAACAUCUAUUUAUCAAUAUGGUGCAUGUAGGGUGAAAGAAAAAUGGGACUUGUGAUUUCAAACAACACACUGAUGUGUAAAUAGGACAUACAUAUCAUUAGGCACUGUUUUGAGAUAGCAUCCACCCUGUCUAUAAAGCCAUGUAAAUGAUUAUAUAUAGUUAAUUAAUUUAAAGCCAGAUUUUUUAUUUAUUUUUUUUAGUCUAGUAGUAUUACUAUUGUUUUAGUACAAGCUAAUAUAAUGUUUUUUUCCGAACUUCAGGGCCUCCGUAGAAAUUAAAAUUUUAGUCAGAUGAAAUGCUAAUAUUUCAUAAUUUUUGGCUCACUAUAAUAGUUUGAAAUCACCAGUUUGUGUUGAUGUUUAUAAGCAGUGCAUCAUUUUAAACCAAAGUAUUUUCACAACCCAAAUUUUAUAUUAUGUUCAGGUGACUAAAAGACUAAACCUUGAAGUGAACUGUGAACUGAAAAUGUAAUCAUUUUGUCCAGAAUUUGCUCAAAUUUACAAACGCUCAAAUUCUGACUUUCACACUCAGAAUUUUGAUUAUAUUUUUGAGUAUCUUGUAAUUUUUACUUCUAUCUAACAAUUUUUCACAUUUUGUCUUUUUAUCUCAUGUAUCUCAUUGGUUAGUAUCUCAUAAUUCUGGUAUUUCAUUUACUUUUCCAUAUCUCUGCAUCUGUUUUCUUGAUGGUAAUAAACCUCUGUAAUGUAAAGUUUCAGGUCUGUUUUAUGUAAAACUACAGAAACAGAUUUACAUCAGUGUGACUUGGCUCUGAUUUAUCUAUGGUUUAACUCCCUGGUUUUUCAUAUGCUGUGGCAUCAGUGACGAUUCUGUCGCCUUGUCUUGUGUCACAUCAUGGCAGAGAUCGGAUGGAAAAUAUUUCCAGGAGAAACCAGAACAUGAACCUCGCAAUCAUUAGCAACACAGAUUGUGUUUGGAAAAUGCUCCAGAAAUUAAAAAAAGCUGAGGAAUCAAGAAUCAGUGCAUGCAGAUUAAUACAUUUAAUUAUAUUUGAGAUUUGUUGACUUGUCUUUACUGGGUUAUGUAAACCUUUCAUGUAUGUACUGUACUGCAUGUCCCCUUUUUGUAGACAUUUUGCAUCUCUGUAGUUUUUAGAGCUUCAGUGGUUGUUUUGCCCCUUCUUGUAGAUGGUUUUUUUAUCUCUCUGUGGUUGUUUUAAGUGUCUUCGUAGAAUUUUUUGUAUCUAGUUUUGUAUCUAUUUGGAGUCAUUUUGUGUUUAUUCUAUGUCUUUGGAGUCAUUGUAUGUGUAUUUUUAGUCUUUUUGUGUCGUUUUAGAAUAUUUUUUAAUGUAUUUAUACUCAUUUUGUAUCUCUUUUGAAUCAUUUUGUGUAUUUGUAGUUGUUUUGUAUCUCUUUGUUGUCAUUUUGUGUCUCUCUGUAUCUGUUUUGUGAAGCCGUUCACUGCUCAUUACUCCACAUAUGUGUGAUUUUAUCUGCUGUUUAUGGACAAAUGUAAAAGGUAAUUGUUUAAAUAUAAUUUUCUUGACCUUUUGAGCUUUGAUAAUUCAAACUCAAUAGAAGAGAGGAAAUAAUGUUCCAGUGGCAAAUGCUGUGGAGUCUUUUUCUGAUCCCAAAUCAGCCUGUGGUUACUGCCACCUGGUGGACAAACAUUUUCACUGCAGAUCUUAAACUCUUUUUUUUUUUUUCCUCCUUUUUGCUAAUGACCUAAAACCAAAAAUAUUUUCUCUAUGAAAGCAUCGACUACUCACCUCUUCUCCUCUUCAUUCGUAUCCCCCCCUUUCCUGUAAACCGACUGCUUGUUUUGGAGGUCCAGUUACCGCGGCAACCGGCCACAACACAGUGAUUCAAUACCGGACUGAACCUGCAACAGAAAAACAAGAAACUUUUCAAGGACUUAACUUUAAUAAAAAGAAGAAAGAGAGAGAAGAAGAAGAGGCCUGAAUACUGAUGAACUAACUGCUUCCUUCCUCGUUCUGGAUAAGACAACAUGCCGGCAAAGAUGAAAAAGAAAAAGCAGCGGCCCCAAAAACCUACCAAAGAAAAACAAGGAGCAAAGAAGAAAAAUAAAGCUGUUGUUGAGUGUGACAGCAAAGUUUCAGUGGACCAAAUCUGCGAGGCCUUCAGGUCCAACCAGCCGGAGUUUGAAUGUUUCCUGGUUGAGAUGAUUCAGUGGUUUUCUGAUCAUCAGCAGCAGGUUGAUCAGUAUUUCAGCCUCAGGGACGCAAACCAAAGUGGAUCAGUCCACCUGAAGGACUUUGAGCUUGGUAAUCCAUCGUCUCUCUGCACCGUCAUCCCUUCCACCUUCCUCUUGCUCUUUUUGAAACAUGGUAUUUUGUGGGAUUAUACACUAAAGACCUGAUUUAAAACCCUCUUGUCUUCUCUGUUCCAGCUCCUCUGAAUGUCAGAUAAAGAUGACCUUGAAGGAAAAAGAGAUUAGAAAGAGAUAUGUGAGUCAGUAUUAACCAAAUGCCACAGUGUGGUCGCACUGAAGUAUUUACGGAGGGUUACUGUGAAUCAGACUUUUGAUAAUGGGAGCUCAGUGGCUCAUUUCCUCUCAUCCCCUCACAGAUAAGAGCAGCUGGCUCUGGGAAACUAAACCAGGACAAUGUCUCUUUUGUCUGUCAAACUUCAGACGCACAGAGUAAACUAUACUUUUGUACUGAAGGACGUUUGAGAAGCUGCAGGAUAAUACUGUAGCUCUGGAAGUGCAGACUGUCAUUCACUGGGAAUCAGGUCUUUUCUAAGAGCGAGAAAACCUACAGGAUAAAACAGAACAAAAUUGGAUAAAACAAAAGUGGAAUCCUCAUGUAAACAUUCAAAAAACAAAUUUCAUUUUCUAGUUACAUUCAAAUAUGUAUUUUGCUUAUUGGAUGGACCAUGUUAUGUUAAUAGAACAAGAUUGAUACAGUCGUAUUAAGUUUGUCUUCAACCACGGUUGAUAUAUAUUUUAUCGGGAAUUUUAUGGCCGUAUACUUUAGAAAAGGGCAUAAUUGUCUUAUAUUUAUGACUUUUUAGAGAAUUCAUAGGUUAGAAAAUGUUUAGAAACUGUGCUUUAAGAGUAACUGACCCAGCUUUUUGUCAGUGUAUGUUUCAGAUGAGGGUUUACAUGUUGUUUCAAAGGUGUUCCCAUCAGGGGGGACUCAUCAAAUCUAGAUAAAAUGCCUACAUGUUGACAGCUGUGACAUCUCAGAUGGCCUAAAACUCGAUUAUCACUAUUACUGGUUGCAGGUCUGAUGAACCUGGGUGUCCCCUGUCAGGAGUUUCAGCUCCACGUGUUGACUGAGCAACUGAAAACCAACUACAAUACCAUCAGUUAUCAAGACAUAAACAGACAAGUACAGAGCUUAAGACACAGCAGCACAGAGGAUUGAAACUCAGGUAUCAAGGGACGCCUCCAGUUUGAAAAGACGUGCUGACAAACACAGGUUCAUCCGUCUGAGCGUCAGAAUGAUCCCCUUCGACUCUUCUUCAAACCAUCCUGGGAACUUUGAGGUGGUUUUGUCGAGCGACAGCAGAGUUUUCAGUCUGAUCAGGAUCAUCCAGGACCGGGUCAAGAUCCAGACUUCUAGGCUGGAGGUUUUUCGGAGCAGAACGCCCACAGAGGAGGCCUGCCUGCCCCCGAGAGCUCCCUGGAGGAGUGUGGCUUUGAGGGAGGACCAAGGGACAGUCCAACAGAGACACAGUGUACUACGACUACACACUGGUGUUUACAGACUGUCCAGUCCUCAACUGUGACCACUACUUCAUGUCAAAACCAGACUCUGCUGCCAGGAGGACUGGACACUGUCGAUUAAUUACGCAACUGUCCGAUGGUGUUUUUAGCCGUGGUAGUGGUCAGUCCACCACUUGAGUUCAGACUGAAAUAUCUCAACAGCCUCUCGAUGUUUGUUGUAAAAGUUUGUACAGACGUCCAUGUUUCCCAUCUUGCUGACUUUGGUGAUCCUUUAACGUUCCCUCUAGUGCCAUCAUGAGGUUCACAUCUGUGGUUCUGAAGAAAUAUUACAACAACUAUUGGAUAGACUGUCAUAAAAUUGGAGGGGGGGCUUUAAACCAGAUGAGUCUCAACUCUGAGACUCUGAGGAAUGGAGCUCAAACAAAAGGUUGCUUUAUUUCUCUAAUGGGGAGGGGUUGGUGAUGAGGAGGCUGGAAGAAACAGAAAUUCCUCCCAGACUUGGGUACAGUCUCAUGGGUUUUUCUUGGCAAUGUUGCUCCCUGUAGACAAUAGAGUAGUAGAGGAGUGGUGGUGGUGGGAUUCAUUCAGCUUGUUAGCAGCCCUCGCCUUUCAGGCCUCGGCUGAAUUCAAAUGUCUGGACUUCAGCGCACUCACACAUCUCUCUUCCAGGAAAUUAGGUCUGGAUCUUGAACUGGUUUUGAGUGGAACCACUGUAAUCAAGGAUGUGUCAUCAACAGAAGGUGUUGAACUAUGCACAACACAGCUCUGUCCAACCUGUAGAAUAUGACCUGCCCACUUAAGUCGUCAUAUUUCGCUCUUCAGGUCAAGAAAAACAAGUUCCAGCCAGGAACCAACUUUACAGGUUCCAAACUAAUUUAUUUUUGUCUCAAGUGCUAGAGUUGAAGGCAACCAACUAGACGUUUCACCUCUCAUCCUAAAGGCUUCAUCAGUUCUUAGGCUGGUUGGGGAGUCCCAGGUAUUUAACCUCAGGACCACCUCCCUCCUCAGGACCUGGAACUGAGGAGGUGUUUCAAAUGAGAGGUAAAAUGUCUUCAAGAAACCUAAAAGAAGUCCAGUUCCUUCAGCUCGAGCACUUAAAGACUUCCAUGACCUGGAUGACUGAGAACCUACACAGUCAAUAUAUUUUUGGUUGAAAAUUCUCUGAAUGGUUCAAAAUUUGGUGCAAAAUUUGAUGAACCGGAACGGAAGCCGUUCCACCUUGGUGAAAAAGGGGUAGAAGAGUCCUGGACUUAAUGGGAACAUUCCCAGGAAGUCCAUGAGUGCUGAGUUCUGUCUGAAUUCAAAACUCAUCAAGUCCACACGAGGCCCCAAGUGGAUUUUUGCAGCCAGUGAAAAAUUGAUGUAAUUUUUUUUGCAGAAGGAGGCUGAUAUAUCGCAGACACAGAUUGCCAGAAGCUGCUCUAGGUCAUGUGACCCAGAUAGUUGCCUCCUCAGAUGCAGGACUAGCAUACCCAGCAGGACCUCAAACUGCCCCACUGGACAGACCUUUAGUCUGUUUAGAGUGCAGACUUCACUUGGAAAAUUAGCCAUAAUACAAAGUGAUAUGGAUGUGAUGAUGUAAAAAACUAAAUUAAUAUGAAGAAUAUGUAUCAUAUGUAAUUAUAACAAAAUAACCUGUUGUCUGACGGUAAUGGCAUUGAAAAAAUAGUUGAAAACAUCACCAUUCUUAGUUUCCAUUGCUGAGCAUUAAAACCUGCCCUGUGAACAUGAAGCCGAACUCUUAACAGUCAGGUUUUAAAAGAGGAUUUAUGUCAGAAAGCUGCAGGGAGCUUCACACUCAGCACCUUGUGGCCUGUUUCCACUUUAAUUACACACUGAUGUGUCCUCACAGGGAUACAGUAUCAGCCAAGAGUGUUUAAAUCUUUACACCAACAUAAAGCAGUGUUUUUAGUUGUGGCCUCAGGGGGCCACAGAGCCUGAACUGUGCUGUACUGGGAGUCAGUGGAAAGUGCUUGGCUGGUGGAAACCACAGAGCAGCUAUAAACAGUGGCUGGUGGUGGCCGCUAAAGCGUGCCAUGCAGCCGACACACCCAGCAGCUUCCCCCGCUGCUCCACCCAGACGAGCUUUUAGAUCCCAGCUGCAGAUAUAAUUCACUGCUGCUGCUUCAUUUGUUAACAAACACACAGUGCACAGGGAGAAGGCUUAUGCAUCAGGACAGAACAAGCAAAAUUGCAAUUGCAAAGUUGCAAAAUUAACAAGAGUGCAAGGUUUUCAAAGUGAAAAUAGUAUUUAUUCAGUAGGUUCAAAAAUACUGCGCAAUAUAAAUAUUAAAAAAUUGAAUACUUUUUGUGUUUCAAUAUACUUGAACUUUAACACUGUUUACAUUUGGGAUAAAAACACAGACUUCAGACCUCAGGGCUGCAGCAGUUUGUUGUUUUACAUUGUUAAAAACCUUAAAAAUAUCUGCUGCUGUUUUUCAUUUAAGCUCAGAUCAGUAAUUCUGACAUGUUUUAUGAUUUGGGCCCAAACUACCGACAGAGGGGAAUAGUAUUAAUACGACUAUUCUGUAGAAGAAUGUAAAUGUCUCUUUACUCAGACAUUAAAACGUGCAACAGACGAAGAUGAACAUUAUAUAACAGACGUUUCUCCGUUUAUGAAGAAAAUCUUCCAUUUUCAAAACUU
This is a long non-coding RNA of Lates calcarifer (barramundi perch), 7089 nucleotides long. RefSeq lists it as uncharacterized. The record is from RefSeq and is a predicted model, not a curated record. The transcript is spliced from 5 exons. Lineage: Eukaryota; Metazoa; Chordata; Actinopteri; Centropomidae.